UACGUAGGUGGCAAGCGUUAUCCGGAAUUAUUGGGUUUAAAGGGUGCGUAGGCGGGCUUUUAAGUCAGCGGUAAAAAUUCGGGGCUCAACCCCGUCCGGCCGUUGAAACUGGGGGCCUUGAGUGGGCGAGAAGAAGGCGGAAUGCGUGGUGUAGCGGUGAAAUGCAUAGAUAUCACGCAGAACCCCGAUUGCGAAGGCAGCCUUCCGGCGCCCUACUGACGCUGAGGCACGAAAGUGCGGGGAUCGAACAGG
This 252-nucleotide ribosomal RNA is filed under the name uncultured bacterium. RNAcentral describes it as "partial 16S ribosomal RNA". It matches the Rfam family "Bacterial small subunit ribosomal RNA", at positions 524 to 776 of the family's 1533-position model. The record is from RNAcentral.